Molecule: non-coding RNA, 1295 nt
Organism: Danio rerio (zebrafish)
Lineage: Eukaryota; Metazoa; Chordata; Actinopteri; Cypriniformes; Danionidae
Source: Ensembl
CCCAGCCGGCACACGACCGACCUUCAACGUUGAAAUAUGGUUGAAAUAAGGUCAGAUGUGUUUUGAACGUUGAAAUAAUGUUGAUAGAACGUUUAAUGUUGAACGGUUGAAAAACAGCCUGCAUAUGACAAGGCUUCAACGUUGAAAUGUGGUUGAAAAUACGUAAGUAGUUGCUUUAAUGUUGAAACAAUGUUGAAUGAUAAAUGGUUGAAAAAAGUUACAGAAAUCCUUGUACAAAUCAACGUUGACAUUUUUUUUAUCAUGAUCUGUAUGUUGAAUUAACGUCAUGGCUUCACCCAAUAUUCAACAUGUUUGGUUACCAUGGUAUCGGAGGACUCGGCGCACGCGGCCACGCGCAGCGCUUCACUUCACUUAAUUACGAACACCUGACCUGCAGUGCAGCAGAAUUCAGAGACAUGUAACUUAACGUACUCCAGAGACGCACUAACUUGCACAGCAUUGAAUGGAAAAGGCUUUGUCCAUGUCCAGUUGAGGGCAUCAAGAACACGCAGAUGGCCUAAACCUGUGUCAGCCUGGACAGACUGCAGUUCUGCUACUCCACGCCAAGGCUUUUGUAUGGAUGUCUGACUACUACUGACUACUGUGUUCUCUAAAGGUUUUCUGGAAGCUCCAUUUGAGGGCAUCAAGGACAUACUGAUGGCCUAAACCAGUGUCAGCCUAGACAGACAGACAUCUAUUGCAGUUCUGCUACACAAGACCAAACUCUCUGCUUUUGUAUGGAUGUCUGACUAGUACAGUGUUCUCUGAAGGUAUAACUGGAGCAAAACAACAGCAUCCGUUACAGUGAAAUUUGUGUUCAUAAAAGAUAGUGAUAUAUGUGUAACAGGUCCAGUACAUUUGUCAUAAAGGUUAAAUCACAGUAAGUACUGUAAAAAUAACUUGUUUGCCUUUGCCACAACAGGUCAUGGUGUGUGCUUACCUGUAGUAAACACACACGCUGAUCUGAUGCGGGAGAGAUAUAUGCAAACAUAUUUGUAUUUACUGUUUUGUUUUGCCUCACUAAAGUGUUGUUGGAGCUUGGUAUGUUCACAGUUGAAAUUACUGAAGUCACAUGGAACGUUUUGACAAUGUGUUUUGUGCCUUAUCUGGACAAUGACCAUCUUGGGACCAUUGCUGUCUGUAGAGGAUGAGGAGCAUUUAAUCUAAAAUAUUUUAGUUUGUGUUCUGAAGAUUAACAGGUCUCUGGGAUGACACAAGUAAUUAAUAACAGAACCUAUAUGAACACUUAAUGUGACAUGUAAUAGUGAAAUAGUGGUCCUACAUUCAAAAAUGUG